Molecule: ribosomal RNA, 492 nt
Filed under: uncultured bacterium
Lineage: Bacteria
Description: partial 16S ribosomal RNA
Rfam family: Bacterial small subunit ribosomal RNA
Source: RNAcentral
AGUGAACGCUGGCGGUAGGCCUAACACAUGCAAGUCGAACGGCAGCACAGUAAGAGCUUGCUCUUACGGGUGGCGAGUGGCGGACGGGUGAGGAAUACAUCGGAAUCUAAUUUUUCGUGGGGGAUAACGUAGGGAAACUUACGCUAAUACCGCAUACGACCUACGGGUAAAAGCAGGGGAUCUUCGGACCUUGCGCGAUUGAAUGAGCCGAUGUCGGAUUAGCUAGUUGGCGGGGUAAAGGCCCACCAAGGCGACGAUCCGUAGCUGGUCUGAGAGGAUGAUCAGCCACACUGGAACUGAGACACGGUCCAGACUCCUACGGGAGGCAGCAGUGGGGAAUAUUGGACAAAGGGCGCAAGCCUGAUCCAGCCAUACCGCGUGGGUGAAGAAGGCCUUCGGGUUGUAAAGCCCUUUUGUUGGGAAAGAAAAGCAGCAGGUUAAUACCCCGCUGUUCUGACGGUACCCAAAGAAUAAGCACCGGCUAACUUCGUG